Molecule: long non-coding RNA, 1592 nt
Organism: Pezoporus occidentalis (night parrot)
Lineage: Eukaryota; Metazoa; Chordata; Aves; Psittaciformes; Psittacidae
Exons: 3
Source: RefSeq, a predicted model, not a curated record
UUAGCUGUUAAAGCAAGCGUUGCCUACACAGCUGUGGUUUUAUUCUUCUAAGGGAAAGGCAGCUGAGCUAAAUGGAGCUGUACAGUGAGUACUCACUACAAUAAGUCAUAGGUUUUUUUUUUUAUUGUCUUUUACCCCCCCCCCCUUUUUUCUUUCUCCCCAUUCCUGAUGUGCUUUGCUUUUGGGUUUUUACAGUCCUGCAAAAUAGGAUGAAUGUUGAGCAGGUCACUGUGUACACCUGCAGCAUUGUUGAAAAUACCCCCUUGUCACAACUUUCUUACGUAUAUUUUGUUUGAAUUCAGUGAUGUAUGCUUUUCCUAGUAUGAGGUUCUCCUAUUGGAGUUGAUGGGGAAAUUGGAAAAUAUCAUGCAUUUUAAUGGGAGCAGACCGCAACUUUUUUGCUGCCUUUGAAGUUACUCUGUCAGAAAUAGAAGCAAGCUAAAAUUAGACAUGCUGUAGUUUCUCUUUUCUGCAUUUCCUCCCUCCUCUGCUGUCACAGAACAAGGCUUUUGAUAGUGAACUUGGUACUGUAGUGUUCAGGAUCUGUGAGAGAAAGGAGCAAGACAAGCAAAGCAAAGUGCAUGUGUAAGCAAGAUCAGAUCACAGUAGCAUCAGGCUGUCAGAACAAGGUUGUCCAUGUGGACAGAUCUGCCUUUUUGGCAUUGGAAAUCUGUCCCCAGUUUGGUACUGAUGCACCUGGCAGAGGAGAUGGCAUUUCAUUAAGGUUGCAGCCAUUUGUCUUAAGGACAUGAAAGAUUUGACACAUAUAGGGAAACAAGUGGUGACAUGAAUGGUCCUAUAAAUUAUCUUCUGCGGUUGACAGUAACCUUUUACAUAAAAAGCUAUACUUCUACUCUGAUUUGUGUAUGAGGGAACAGUCUGAGUUUCCAAGAUUCAAGCUGAAGUCCAACCUUAAAUUUUACAGAGAUUUCAUAGUCUGACUGGGGAGGCAUGGGAGAGACUGCCCAGAUAAAGCUGAGGUAAAUCAGAGCAGCUACAGGCUGUCUCUGCCUUACACUACUUAGCAGCUGGUGCAUCCCUAGCAAUCAGGAGUGAAACAGGGGAGGGAGGGAAAUGCCUUGUUAAUCCCUCCCUUCUGAACUUUCUGGAACUGCUUGGCAAGUGCAGCAAUUGUGACGUAAGUACCAGCUGCCAAGCCUGGAAACAAGCUUCAGUGGUACACGGAUUAAGUGGCUAGUGGCCUUGCAAAAGCCCAUGGGUCUGUUAGAACAGCUGCUUCUGAGCUUGCUGGAGUGUUAACACUGCUUGAGGACCUUCAUGCUUCUUAUCUGCAGUACAGCCAGACAAGUCAAGAAUUGUUUUAUGAACCUCUGAUGUUUGAUGAUCACCAUGUCAAACACCUUGUGGGGGAACCUUCUCAAGCAGCAGGGAGCCACCACCUCAUGAAAUGCAGAGGAAAUGUGCUCAAAACAAGGAAGGAGUCCUACAUUUUAAAACCCAGAGAAGGGUUUAGAGGUACAAGUAAACUAGUUUCUUAUGAUUGCAUUCAUGUGUUUUAUACCUCUAUCAAUGUGGCUUUUAAAAAUAUAAAAUCAUACGAUCUUAUUCUGAAGAAGAGGGCUAUCUUGUUC